GUUUUUUUCCGAGCUCCGCAUGUGGACGUCAUGACGUCAUGACGUCUUCUCUCUAACCUGAACGACGUUGACAGAAAAUUCUGUUCAAUAUGGCUGCCCUUCUCGAGCGACUGGAGAACACAUUUGGAGAAACUUGCUGAAGGCCAAAGACAAAAAGACAGAAGAAAAAAAAAUUCAGACUGCAAUUAAUUUCAGGUGGAGACAGUAAACACAGGAGGCGCCUGAUAUCAACGUGAAACGCACUGCAGUACUUCGUGCCCUUCCUGUAUACCUGCGGGAGGAGGACCCAGAAUUCUUUUAGACAUGUAAUACCCACAUGACUCAUCAUGGCAGAUGGCUCCCCCUCCCUGAGCCUGGUUCUGCUGGAGGUUUCUUCCUGUUAAAAAGUUGUUUUUCCUCCCCACUGUCGCCAGAUGCAACCAGCGGGAUCAGUAAGGCCUGAAAGUCUCUCUUAAGCAUGCUGGUAAUGUUCUUGUCAGAAAGCUCAUUUAGCCCAGUAGGUCCACAAUGUGUGAAAGUGCUACAAGCAUUUGAGCCCCACUCCAUGUCUCAUCCAUGACAUUUUUGACUUAAUUCUCUUCACUCCCAUGUGCAUGGCCUCUUAAUUGGUACGAUAAUGACUGCAAACCAACUGCUCUGUAGAGAGGACGAUCAGUAAGUGCUAUAGAUCUAUAUGAGGAAGUUCUCCACUCAAGCUUAUCUAUUGAAUUUAAACCCUCUCUUGCUUUCAGUAAAUCCUGUCCACUCUGUUUUGGACAAGUAACAAGGCUCAUAGAAACCUUUUUAAAGCACUUUGAGUGGUUAGGAAGAACGUAAAUGUAACUCUAGUCCAUAUUUCCACUAGAAGAUCAUUUUAUUUAAGAAUAAAAUAAUUAUGAGGGUAAAUGCACUGUGAUGGCCAAACCCGUGGCCACACUAAAUUCGGUAACUUUUGUAUUUUCAUUCUUCAUUUGAACAUACUUAAUACAUUUUAGUUGCCAAUAAUUUCAUUGAUUGGUUUGGAUACAUUUGUUCUAUUUGUAAGCGCGCACAUUUAGUUUACUUAUGUAUUCAUACUACUUCAUUUCUUUGCUUUCUGACUAACCUUUGUCUUUUUAUUUCUUACCUGCCAUCAUCCCUGGGAGUUGCUGGACAAAAGAUGGCAGCCAGGGUUUGAAACCAUUAAAUAUGAAGAAGAUAAUUGGACCACACCACCACUUCCUGCUGAAGGGGGAAUGUCCAUCCAUCCAUCCAUCUUCAUCCGCUUUGUCCGGGGCCGGGUCGCGGGGGCAGCAGCCUAAGCAAAGAGGCCCAGACCUCCCUCUCCCCAGCCACCUCCUCCAGCUUAUCCGGGGGAAUACCAAGGCGUUCCCAGGCCAGCCGAGAGAUAUAAUCUCUCCAGCGUGUCCUGGGUCUGCCCCGGGGCCUCCUCCCGGUGGGACAUGCAUGGAACUCCUCACCCAGGAGGCGCCCAGGGGGCAUCCUUGUCAGAUGCCCGAACCACCUCAGCUGGCUCCUUUCGAUGUGGAGCAGCAGCUGCUCUACUCUGAGCCCCUCCCGGAUGGCCGAACUUCUCACCCUAUCUCUAAGGGAGAGGCCAGCCACCCUUCGGAGGAAGCUCAUUUCUGCCGCUUGUAUCCGCGAUCUCGUUCUUUCGGUCACUACCCACAGCUCGUGGCCAUAGGUGAGGGUAGGGACGUAGAUC
This is a long non-coding RNA of Astatotilapia calliptera (eastern happy), 1684 nucleotides long. The record is from Ensembl. NCBI's taxonomy places the organism in Eukaryota, Metazoa, Chordata, Actinopteri, Cichliformes, Cichlidae.